AGAACGAACGCUGGCGGCAGGCUUAACACAUGCAAGUCGAACGCUCGGAGCAAUCCGGGAGUGGCAGACGGGUGAGUAACGCGUGGGAAUAUACCCUUCGGUUCGGAAUAACUUGGGGAAACUCAAGCUAAUACCGAAUACGGCCUAUGGGCGAAAGAUUGAUCGCCGAAGGAAUAGCCCGCGUCCGAUUAGCUAGUUGGUGGGGUAAUGGCCUACCAAGGCGACAAUCCGUAGCUGGUCUGAGAGGACGACCAGCCACACCGGAACUGAGACACGGUCCGGACUCCUACGGGAGGCAGCAGUGGGGAAUAUUGGACAAUGGGGGAAACCCUGAUCCAGCGACGCCGCGUGUGUGAAGAAGGCCUGCGGGUUGUAAAGCACUUUUAGUGGGGACAAAAAGCUACGGAUUAAUACUCUGUGGUCUUGAUUUAACCCAAAGAAAAGCACCGGCUAACUCUGUGCCAGCAGCCGC
This 472-nucleotide ribosomal RNA is filed under the name uncultured bacterium. Its description in RNAcentral is "SSU rRNA". It matches the Rfam family "Bacterial small subunit ribosomal RNA", at positions 26 to 518 of the family's 1533-position model. The record is from RNAcentral.